UACGGGGGGGGUAAGCGUUGUCCGGAAUCACUGGGUGUAAAGGGUGCGUAGGCGGGUUUGUAAGUCAGAGGUGAAAGCCCACGGCUUAACCGUGGAAUUGCCUUUGAUACUGCAGGCCUUGAGUCCUGGAGAGGCUGCCGGAAUUCGUGGUGUAGCGGUGAAAUGCGUAGAUAUCACGAGGAACACCGGAUGCGUAGGCGGGCAGCUGGACAGGUACUGACGCUGAGGCACGAAAGCGUGGGGAGCGAACAGG
RNAcentral lists this ribosomal RNA (253 nucleotides) under uncultured bacterium. RNAcentral's name for it is "partial 16S ribosomal RNA". It matches the Rfam family "Bacterial small subunit ribosomal RNA", at positions 524 to 776 of the family's 1533-position model. The record is from RNAcentral.